This 618-nucleotide long non-coding RNA is filed under the name Marmota monax (woodchuck). Lineage: Eukaryota; Metazoa; Chordata; Mammalia; Rodentia; Sciuridae. The record is from RNAcentral.
UCAAAGCUUUGUUCCCACAAGUGCUCAGAAAUACAGACCAGAACACACUCCUGACUUAACUGCCUUUUUCCCCUUGUUCAUGAAAGCAUUCACAAAGGACAGGACACUCCUGAUGUGUCCAAGCGAGAACAAAUCUAUCACUCACUUUUCUUCCAGCUUCUUUCAAUUCGACAGAGAAGUCUGAAUCAAAGGCAACACUUCCACAGCAAUAAUGAAGAAACCAGAAGUCAAGUAGCAGAGAAUGAUCAAAUCAUACGCUUUCACCAUUCCUUCUGUGUCUCAACACUUUUCCCCAGGGCACCCUCGUAAUUGUGCUACAGCACCGUUUAUUAUUUACAAUUGCCUUAUUUUCUUCUGAGAUCAGGCUUUGUUUAAAAGUCCAUUCAAGAUUAGCUGUACUUCAACUAAGGGUCACUUGAAGUUUCUAUGUAAUCAGCUACAUGUCAAAUGUCGUUAUGUUACAAGCCCCCAAACCAGCACAUAGAGGAAAUAUAUUCACCUAAAUUCAAAGAAGCUGCAAUAUCUCUUAACAGAACCUUAACAUCUACAAGGAUGUGUCAAAGAAACGACAGGCACACAGUUUACUCUGCUGUCUGGUACGUGGCACUCGUCUCUGGC